AGUCAUAACAAGGUUACUGUAGGUGAACCUGCAGUAGGAUCAUUAGAGAAUUGAAUUAGGAGCACCACUCUGUGGGCUCCGAACCCCUUCCUAAUCCUAUCACACCUGUGCAUGCAUGAUCGUGUCUGGCUACUGUCGCCUAGCGGCUCUGGCUGGAUGCGGUUGUCUAUUUCAUUCAACUCUUAGUUAAUGGAUGUUAUACAACCGAGUAUUUAAUACUCAAAUGAAAGUAAAACUUUCGACAACGGAUCUCUUGGUUCUCC
This 263-nucleotide unclassified non-coding RNA is filed under the name Gjaerumia minor. RNAcentral's name for it is "partial internal transcribed spacer region". The stretch from base 1 to 45 matches the Rfam family "Eukaryotic small subunit ribosomal RNA", at positions 1787 to 1831 of the family's 1831-position model. Lineage: Eukaryota; Fungi; Basidiomycota; Exobasidiomycetes; Georgefischeriales; Gjaerumiaceae. The record is from RNAcentral.